AUAACCCGACCCAUUCUCCCAAAUCUCCUAUAUUCCCAUCUACCCAUUCUCCCAAAUAUCUUUAUUCUCUCCGUCAAAAGCUUGCCUAAAAACAAAUUGAUGAGUUGAAGCCUGGAACAGGAGUAACAGUCGGGAGGGGUUGCAGUGGUGACUAAUGAGGAAACACAGAGGGUGAGGGCAGUAAAGGGGGAAAAGAAGCAAGGGGCAUGUAGAAGAACGACAAAGAGGAGGGGAGAACGGUGCAGCGGAAACAUGAAUCUUACGCCAACUGUGUUUAUGCUUCAGCUGAUAUAUUCAUGCUAUACAAAUAUUUUCCAUUUAAAUAUCCAAGCUUAUAUUCUAUCAUAGUUCUCAUACAACAUUUAUCUAUUUGGGUGUUGAACAAAAAUAUGAGCUCUUUACAGUUAGCUUUAUUGAAAACAUACAUAUUUUGCUUUUGUCUUAAGAGAAAAGAACAAUCCUAUAUGCUUUUGCCUUAUGAAACUAGGUUGUCUUUUUUUCUAACUCAUUAAUUUGUUCUUAGGCUUACCUUGUGAGGGAGAGUACGAAGGAAUUUUGUGAGAAUGGGUAGAUGAGAAUAUAGGAGAUUUGGUAGAAUGGGUCGGGUUCUUUUAAAUGGGGUUAGGUUAUUGGGUUAAAAUAAGAUUUUUUUUUUAAAAAAAAUUUCGGGUCAAUUUGAGUCAAUCGGUCAAAUGGGAGUAAAUUUAGUGAAAUUAGUAACGAAGGUUAAAAAUUAACUUCAUUUCACAGUAUUCCGGAAUGUAGAAUGUUCUUCUCCAAAAUUUGGGCGAUAAAUGUUGCCUCUCCUGGUUCUGUCUCUAUAGCUUCUCAACACCAACAAUGGCCAAGAACAAGUACCACAGUCAUCAAGAAUACCUAAUAGUGCUGAAAUUACUUCAAGUCACGAUGCAGGUUAAGGGACAGAUUGACAAUUCUUGCAACGGUUUGGACAUCAGCAUUUUUCCAGACCAUUUGAGGCUUGUUUGCGACCCCUGGAGGUCAACGAUGCCGGUUGCGAUUCAGAUUUCAGAAUUCGAUUCGUGACAUGCAGCCUUUUGUUGGAGAGGAGAGGUUACAUAGACCAGAAAAUAUAGAGAGCCCAAUCGACCCAUUUGAUUGAGGUGAUUUUUGCUUAGGAGUGAUGACCGGACGAACAACUUGCUUGGUUAUGAAAUAGGAUGAAAAAUAAAUGCUCACCGAUUUGCGCGCCAGCUGAUAACAUUUAUUUUGGUGUUGCAACGUGAACUUUGGAUAUGGAGGGUGAGCUGAUGACGUCUUAGUUCUACUCAUCUCCAUUUGCAUAUAGUUUUUGUCUAGUCUUUUGUAUUCAAGAUAAGUCCGUCUUAUAUAGGUUAUUUUGUAGCUUGUACUCUUUUUAGUAGAUUUGUACCUUCAACCACUUGUUCGAUGAAUGGAUCUUGUACUAUUGUAUAGAUACUUAUUUCAUUCAUUUUUUUUCGCUGUCUA
This is a non-coding RNA of Solanum lycopersicum (tomato), 1467 nucleotides long. Lineage: Eukaryota; Viridiplantae; Streptophyta; Magnoliopsida; Solanales; Solanaceae. The record is from RefSeq and is a predicted model, not a curated record.